GAUGAACGCUGGCGGCGUGCCUAAUACAUGCAAGUCGAGCGAACAGAUGAGGAGCUUGCUCCUCUGACGUUAGCGGCGGACGGGUGAGUAACACGUGGAUAACCUACCUAUAAGACUGGGAUAACUUCGGGAAACCGGAGCUAAUACCGGAUAAUAUAUUGAACCGCAUGGUUCAAUAGUGAAAGACGGUUUUGCUGUCACUUAUAGAUGGAUCCGCGCCGCAUUAGCUAGUUGGUAAGGUAACGGCUUACCAAGGCGACGAUGCGUAGCCGACCUGAGAGGGUGAUCGGCCACACUGGAACUGAGACACGGUCCAGACUCCUACGGGAGGCAGCAGUAGGGAAUCUUCCGCAAUGGGCGAAAGCCUGACGGAGCAACGCCGCGUGAGUGAUGAAGGUCUUCGGAUCGUAAAACUCUGUUAUUAGGGAAGAACAAAUGAGUAAGUAACUAUGCACGUCUUGACGGUACCUAAUCAGAAAGCCACGGCUAACUACGUG
RNAcentral lists this ribosomal RNA (497 nucleotides) under uncultured bacterium. RNAcentral describes it as "partial 16S ribosomal RNA". It matches the Rfam family "Bacterial small subunit ribosomal RNA", at positions 28 to 507 of the family's 1533-position model. The record is from RNAcentral.